CCUACGGGUGGCAGCAGUGGGGAAUAUUGCGCAAUGGGCGAAAGCCUGACGCAGCGACGCCGCGUGAGGGAUGAAGGUCUUCGGAUCGUAAACCUCUGUCAGCAGGGAAGAACGGUCACUGUGCUAAUCAGCAGUGCAUUGACGGUACCUGCAAAGGAAGCACCGGCUAACUCCGUGCCAGCAGCCGCGGUAAUACGGAGGGUGCGAGCGUUAAUCGGAAUUACUGGGCGUAAAGCGCUCGUAGGCGGUACGUCAAGUCAAGGGUGAAAUCCCCGCGCUCAACGUGGGAACUGACUUUGAAACUGGCAAACUGGAGUGUGUGAGAGGAGAGGAGAAUUCCAGGUGUAGGAGUGAAAUCCGUAGAGAUCUGGAGGAACAUCAGUGGCGAAGGCGACUAUCUGGCACAUAACUGACGCUGAGGAGCGAAAGCGUGGGUAGCAAACAGGAUUAGAUACCCCAGUAGUC
Molecule: ribosomal RNA, 465 nt
Filed under: uncultured bacterium
Lineage: Bacteria
Description: partial 16S ribosomal RNA
Rfam family: Bacterial small subunit ribosomal RNA
Source: RNAcentral